CCACAUCAAUGGUCGUUGGAU
RNAcentral lists this microRNA (21 nucleotides) under Medicago truncatula (barrel medic). RNAcentral describes it as "mtr-miR5742". Lineage: Eukaryota; Viridiplantae; Streptophyta; Magnoliopsida; Fabales; Fabaceae. The record is from miRBase by way of RNAcentral.